CUUGAAGGUUUCAUUGUCUUAUUGCGACAAGUAUAUUUAGUAGAUAUAGUUAUAUACCAUAGUAAAUUUAUCCUUGAUAUUCCGAACGAUUACGCCCGAAGAAGAGACGAUAGUCCUGCUUCGUCACUAAAAUUCUCUGCAAUUGUUCUGCAUUGCCGUUAUAUUCUGUGAUAGCAUCGGGACAAAAAAUUAAAAGUACUGUACCACUUAGCAAAGCUUAUCGCAUUAUGCAGUAACGGGUACUCUAGACACGCGUGCCUGUCCGCUUCUCACGUAAUAACGUCGGAAAGGCGGCAAUCGAUGCAGAUAAAAUAUUCGUGGGCAGUAUUCGCGCCGCUUUUCCAGGAAGCAACCUGAACGAGCGGCGUCAGUACUAUAGGAAGCACUGAUAAAGCAUGUACCGGCGUUGUUUCACGGUCCCCGACGUGGUCGCCACGAGAGAGACACCGGUUGUGCGUUGCGUGCGACGCCAGGCGUCGGUCUAGGCGUCGUGGCGCCUCGACUUACCCUCCCCGUCUGUCAGUCGCCACGUAGGGUUAAACAGAAGCUCGAAGGUAGACUGACCUCGCAGACGUAGCUGUCCUUGGCCUCGGAAAAAGCCAAAAUUAGAAAUGGCACUUGGUAACGCGGAGAAAGAGAUUGGAGAAUGUUCAUACAGAAAGGGAAGUGAUGGGAAGUGGCAGAGGUCUGCUGUACAGUUGUCUGGAACGGAAAUGGGAUAAUGCAAUUGUCCCUCCUAUCAGCGGGGGAUUACUCAGUUCUCUACAAAUACACUCAGGGAUACAGGAAUUUUAAGCAUGCGAACAGUACACUUGCCUUUCAUAGCCUCGGCUGUUACUUAUUGUUAGAAUUAAUACUAAUCUAACGCGGCAAAAAAGAUAUUGAGAAAAUCAUCGAAAUUUCCUGUCGAAACCAUUAUGUUAAAAAAUUUCAAAAUAUAAAUUGAACGAAAAAAAAGAAUUAUAAAGUUUUAUGUUAAUGUGAUGUUAGGUCAAUUUUCAAAAUACAUAAUUCCAAAGUAAGUAAUUAUAGGAAAGAAAUCGAAUCAAAUUGCGCGGGAACAUCGAAUUCUCUGCUACCAUUUUCUCAUCAUCCAUUCUCUAUUUUCUAGGACGUCAUUGCUUUGGAAACGAAUUUUCAGCGAGUUCUCUGAUUACGAGAUGUAUGAUAAAGCUUUAUCGAUGACCUGUGUGUGUCACAUAAUUUCCUGGGAAUGACCAGCGCGAUGAAUCAUUGUGCUUGAAUCGAGAAAUAUCACGCAAGAGCGAUAAUAGACGAGAAAAUUGUCACUGUUAUCUCAAUAAAAAAUAUUUAAAACAA
Long non-coding RNA from Bombus pascuorum, 1320 nucleotides. RefSeq lists it as uncharacterized. The record is from RefSeq and is a predicted model, not a curated record. Lineage: Eukaryota; Metazoa; Arthropoda; Insecta; Hymenoptera; Apidae. The transcript is spliced from 2 exons.